RNAcentral lists this unclassified non-coding RNA (732 nucleotides) under Hevea brasiliensis (rubber tree). The record is from RNAcentral. Lineage: Eukaryota; Viridiplantae; Streptophyta; Magnoliopsida; Malpighiales; Euphorbiaceae.
GACCUUCUAAGAGUCAUCAGCCAUCACCGGGCUCGACUUGCUACGCCAAUUCGAACUAUUCAGAAGAUAUAUAGCGAUGCUGACUUGGAAAAUGUUCCAUUCGCGGAUGCUAUCUAUAACCAUGGUGGAGUGGCAUCCAACCGUCCUUUGCUACUAAUUGAACCUUCUUACAGAAUCAAUGGGGAAGAUAAAGCGAAAUCUCAAACUCGUUCUGGGCGCGGAGUUGGAGACCAAGAAAAUAGGGCUACACCAAGGUCUUCAUCUGACACCAAAACAGGAGGUAACCCAAAUUUAGAUCCCAAAGCCAAAGAAACACCAAAAUCUGACCCUAUGGUGGAUGCCAGAAUUGGUGAAACACCAAAUUCCGAUGCCAAGGAACGCACACAAGCUGCAACAGCUUCCACCUCUGAUCCCAGGGUUGGUGAUAAAAUGCCAGUGAAAUCAUCACCUAAUUCUGUCCCCAAGACAUCAAACCUUGCAGAAGCAUCAAUUUCUGAACCCAAAGCAGCAGGCUCAGUUUCCAAUAAUGUGACACAAAACAAAAAGAUCUCCGACAGCAAUAAGCCUAACAAUGUGAGUCCUGGGAAUACAAGACAGAAUAGCCAGCUUGAUAAUCUUUCAGUUUCCUUAUCAGAAGCCGGUACUGACGAAGCAAGUGGAUUGCAGCAAUCUUCCCCAUUGAAACUGGGAGCACAGAGACAAACAGUCACUCAGCCAUCAGUGUCAAGACCU